GAUGAACGCUGGCGGCGUGCUUAACACAUGCAAGUCGAACGGAAAGGCCCAAGCUUGCUUGGGUACUCGAGCGGCGAACGGGUGAGUAACACGUGGGUGAUCUGCCCUGCACUUCGGGAUAAGCCUGGGAAACUGGGUCUAAUACCGGAUAGGACGAUGGUUUGGAUGCCAUUGUGGAAAGUUUUUUCGGUGUGGGAUGAGCUCGCGGCCUAUCAGCUUGUUGGUGGGGUAAUGGCCUACCAAGGCGUCGACGGGUAGCCGGCCUGAGAGGGUGUACGGCCACAUUGGGACUGAGAGACGGCCCAGACUCCUACGGGAGGCAGCAGUGGGGAAUAUUGCACAAUGGGCGCAAGCCUGAUGCAGCGACGCCGCGUGGGGGAUGACGGCCUUCGGGUUGUAAACUCCUUUCGCUAGGGACGAAGCGUUUUUGUGACGGUACCUGGAGAAGAAGCACCGGCUAACUACGUG
Molecule: ribosomal RNA, 468 nt
Filed under: uncultured bacterium
Lineage: Bacteria
Description: partial 16S ribosomal RNA
Rfam family: Bacterial small subunit ribosomal RNA
Source: RNAcentral